RNAcentral lists this long non-coding RNA (397 nucleotides) under Salmo salar (Atlantic salmon). Its description in RNAcentral is "lncRNA (ENSSSAG00000082298.1)". Lineage: Eukaryota; Metazoa; Chordata; Actinopteri; Salmoniformes; Salmonidae. The record is from RNAcentral.
AAAAUGACAUGAGCUCAAUUGCGCGUGCUCCCAUGAGAGUUAGUGCAUUUGGAUUACUCGACUGAACGCGUGAACAAAAAGGAGGUAUUUGGACAUAAAGGAUGGACUUUAUCAAACAAAACGUACAUGUAUUGUGUAACAUGAAGUCCUAUGAGUGUCAUCUGAUGAAGAUCAUCAAAGGGUUUGCAGAAUGUUGCGGUCACGGAGGGGAGGAAAGGGUGAAACACAGCGCUCUCUGGCCAACAGCAGAGGAAGAAGGUGGUUAGAAUCAGGUCUUUUGGCUCUGCUGAUCUUCCUCUGGGGAGGAAGGACGUUUCCAUGGCCAGAAAAUGUAAGACAUGUAAAACAGGAUCUACAAACCAGUAACCUACUCCAGGUUGACUCUCCACACCAAUGG